UCCGUAGGCGGGCAAUUAAGUCAGAGGUGAAAUCCCACAGCUCAACUGUGGAACUGCCUUUGAUACUGGUUGUCUUGAGUUAUAGUGAAGUAGAUAGAAUAUGUAGUGUAGCGGUGAAAUGCAUAGAUAGUACAUAGAAUACCGAUUGCGAAGGCAGUCUACUAACUGUAUACUGACGCUAAUGGACGAAAGCGUGGGGAGCGAACAGGAUUAGAUACCCUGGUAGUC
Molecule: ribosomal RNA, 228 nt
Filed under: uncultured bacterium
Lineage: Bacteria
Description: partial 16S ribosomal RNA
Rfam family: Bacterial small subunit ribosomal RNA
Source: RNAcentral